UACGGGGGGAGCAAGCGUUGUUCGGAUUUACUGGGCGUAAAGGGCGCGUAGGCGGCGCAACAAGUCACUUGUGAAAUCUCCGGGCUUAACCCGGAGCGGCCAAGUGAUACUGUCGUGCUAGAGUGCGGAAGGGGCUACUGGAAUUCUCGGUGUAGCGGUGAAAUGCGUAGAUAUUGGGAAGAACACCUGAGGCGAAGGCGGGUUGCUGGGCCGACACUGACGCUGAGGCGCGAAAGCCAGGGGAGCAAACGGG
Molecule: ribosomal RNA, 253 nt
Filed under: uncultured bacterium
Lineage: Bacteria
Description: partial 16S ribosomal RNA
Rfam family: Bacterial small subunit ribosomal RNA
Source: RNAcentral